UUGGAGCUUUGAUAGGGGAAACCUUACCCGACUCAUUAAGUAUAACCCUAAACCCUAAAAAUCCCUAAUCUCCUCUCUCUCCCCUUUGAUUUGCAUUUCACCCCGUAAUAUUUCACUUGAAAUCCCACAUCGAUUCAUCCACUUUCGAACUACCCCCCUACCUGAGAUUUCCAGAUUUUGAUAAAGCGGAGGAAAAAAUGGAUGAAUAUCAAGAGAUGGAAAGGUUUGGGAUGGAUAACGAUUUUGAAGACGGGCGAUGGAUCGACGGCGAAUUCUACUAUAAAAAGCGCAAGGAAAAGCGGACUCAGACUAAAGAUGAUGUCCUUUACGGUGUUUUUGCAUCUGAUUCCGACUCUGAAGACGGUGGUUAUUCUUCAUCAAGGAAGAGACGAAGGAGGGAAUUUGGGAAAAAAACCGACUUGACGAAGCCUGUCAACUUUGUUUCUACAGGUACCGUAAUGCCUACCCAAGAAAUCGAUAAGAAUUCUAAGGUUGUGAAUGAUAAUAUUGUCCAUGAUGAUAACGAGAAUGAUAGCAGGCCUGGAUUGGGGUCUGGCGUAGGUUUAGGAUUUAGUGGUAAUGAUACUUCGCAAAAAAGUGAUGUUAAUAUUGGUAGUGAUGAGGAUGAUGUUUCUAGUUUUUUGCCUAGCUCAUUUGGGAGGAAGAUAAAGGAAGGGGCACAAAGGAGAGAGAAAGAAAGGGAGAGGUUGAAAAUGGAGAAGAAAAGCUUAGGAGGGAGAAGGGAGGUUGGAGGUGGUAGUGGGGAUGUUGGGUCAUUUGAGAAGCAUACAAAGGGUAUUGGGUUGAAGUUGCUUGAGAAAAUGGGGUAUAAAGGAGGUGGUCUUGGGAAGAAUGAACAAGGGAUUGUUGCUCCUAUUGAAGCAAAGAUGAGGCCAAAGAAUAUGGGAAUGGGGUUUAAUGAUUUUAAGGAGGCUAAGUUGCCAGAGUUGCAGCAGUUGGAAGAGAAGAAGAGUGCAAGUCAGCAGCCUGUUGGGAAACCAAAGGAGAGGCUUUGGUCGAAGAAUUCUAAGGGAAGGAAGAAGGAGGUGUAUAUUACAGUGGAGGAGUUGUUAGCGAAGAAGCAAGAAGAAACUGUUGAAAUUGUUCAAAAGGUGAUAGAUAUGAGGGGGCCACAGGUUAGAGUUUUGACCAACUUGGAGAAUCUAGAUGCCGAAGAGAAGGCAAGAGAGAAUGAUGUUCCAAUGCCCGAGUUGCAGCAUAACUUGAAGUUAAUUGUUGACUUGGCAGAGCUUGAUAUUCAAAAGAUCGAUAGGGAUUUAAGGAAUGAAAAAGAGAUAGCAUUGAGCUUGCAGAAGGAAAAGGAAAAGUUGGAGAUUGAGUUUUCACGUCAGAAGCAACAUUUGGCUAAUAUGGAACGAAUUACUGGUGUUCUGGACCAAAUUGAGGAAGAGAACUCAUCUGGAAAAUUAACCUUGGAGUCCCUUGCAAGUUGUUUUAGGGAUUUGCAGAGGAACUAUGCUGAUGAUUACAAACUGUGUAACUUGUCCUGCAUUGCAUGUUCACUAGCCUUGCCCCUGUUUAUAAGAAUGUUUCAGGGUUGGGAUCCUCUAUCAAAUCCAUCUUACAGAAUGGAGAUGAUAUCAGCAUGGAAGGACUUAUUGCAAAUAGAGGGCGGUUAUGACAUUUGGGAGGAUGUAGCAACACCUUAUUCUCAGUUGAUCUCUGAAGUUGUUUUACCAGCCUUGAGAAUAUCUGGCAUCAACACAUGGGAGCCUAGGAACCCUGAACCAAUGCUCAGAUUUUUGGAAUCAUGGGAAAAGUUGUUGCCGUCAUCCAUUCUUCAAACCAUAUUGGAUACUGUGGUAAUGCCUAAAUUGUCAGGAGCAGUUGACUCGUGGAACCCACGUAAGGAAACUGUUCCAAUCCACGUUUGGGUUCAUCCUUGGCUGCCAAUGUUGGGGACAAAGUUGGAAGGUCUGUAUCAAACCAUACGAAUGAAGUUGAGUAAUGUUCUUGAUGCUUGGCACCCAAGUGAUCCUUCUGCUUAUGCUAUAUUAUCGCCUUGGAAGACUGUAUUUGAUUCAGUGAGUUGGGAACAACUUAUGCGCCAAUAUAUAGUCCCAAAGUUGCAGAUUGCCCUGCAGGAGUUCCAAAUAAACCCUGCAGAUCAGAAGCUUGAUCAGUUUCAUUGGGUUAUGUCGUGGGCCUCUGCAAUUCCUAUUCACCUCAUGGUUGAUUUGAUGGAGAAGUUUUUCUUUGUAAAGUGGCUGCAGGUUUUGUAUCACUGGUUGUGUUCAAAACCCGACUUUGACGAGAUAAAAAAUUGGUACAUGGGUUGGAAGGCACUUCUGCCACAGGAGCUUUUGGCUAAUGAGAGUAUCCGUAAUCAACUUAAUUAUGGUCUUGAGAUGAUGAUUCAGGCUGCUGACAAUGUACCAGUAGAGCAGCCUGGUUUGAGGGAGAAUGUUACAUAUCUUAAGGUGCGUGAACAGAGGCAAUUUGAGGCUCAGCAGAGAGCAGCCGCUCAUGCACAACCGCAAGCUGCAGCCGGCCUGGGCACUGCAAACCAGAUGGAUGGUGUUCCUGAGAUGAGUUUGAAGGAAGUAGUUGAGGCCUAUGCACAACAACACGAGUUGCUAUUCAAGCCCAAGCCUGGCAGGAUGCAUAAUGGUCAACAGAUAUAUGGCUUCGGUAACAUAAGCGUAGUAAUUGAUUCACUUAACCAGAAGGUUUAUGCCCAGAAGGAUAAUGGCUGGUCCUUGGUCUUACUUGAUGAUUUGUUGAAAAUGCACUAUAAUUCUCUUGCAAGGAGACGUUGAGUUUUUGGUAUUUACUAGGAAAGAUGCUUCCAUGGAAAGUGUGUUUUUUAAGUUUUAAAUUGUCCUUCGAAAGGAGGUUGGCGUUUUCUGGUGAUGGAGAUCAAAUGUACCAUGCAUGAAAUUUUUUGAGCACACAACAGUUGCAGGAAUGUUCCGAGGGGUAACGAUGAAGCUGACAGAAAACUUUCCCGCACCGACAUGUAAAACCCAUCAAACCAAGCGUUGCAGCUUUCACACCUGGUCUUGAGUUUUGCAGCUGCAGAAUCAACCGAAACAGGUGGAGAUUGUGCCGGUGAACUAGUAGGGUCAUUCGUUUUGGACAGCUCUUGUUUCAAUAUCUCUGAUUUGUAACACUGGGAGCAUAAAUUCUGUCUCUACAGAACCAUAGAAACCGCAGCCGUUUGCACAUAAAGGAGGAGUAGCCAUCACCAUCUUGUUUCUUUGCUUUCUUGAUCUCUUAUUGGUUGAUGCUAGAAAAAUCUGAGAGAACCUCUUAUCUUUUUUACUAGACUGCCUUGAAGUUAUCGGUGGAUUAUUAUAGAAUUAAUUAAUUACACUACAAAGUCUUGGAAGUU
This is an RNA transcript of Hibiscus syriacus, 3355 nucleotides long. It is a transcript of the gene named septin and tuftelin-interacting protein 1 homolog 1-like, with no coding region annotated. Lineage: Eukaryota; Viridiplantae; Streptophyta; Magnoliopsida; Malvales; Malvaceae. The transcript is spliced from 3 exons. The record is from RefSeq and is a predicted model, not a curated record.